GAUGUGGGGCUUUACGUGAGCUCUUCGUUCAAACUUUGUCCCGUUCUUCUCCCCGUUCCCCAAGACAAACUUCGGAAAGCCUGGCUCCCUGCAGGUCCGGAGUGGGCAGCGGCUGUAGCUCACGGGCUGAGGCGCGGUGCUGUGCAGCUGCAUGUGCGGAAAAAGAUGUGACCUCGCUCUACCCCGUAAGAGAAUUUUGGCCGUCGCUGCGGCGCCCGAGCGCAUUUCCGAGGGGCAACGUGGGUGCUCUAAGCAUCGCAUUUGUCACGGGAACUCAUUUCCUAUUACCGCUUGCCGGAUCUUUGGGUUUGGUCAACAAAGCCAGGCAAAAGAAGUGGUUAAGGGAAGAAGUUUUUUUAAGCCCGAAGAAGGGAACGCAACAGGAAAUCCUCUGAAGGUUUGGUGAAGAAAUUCUGGAAAGCUGGUAUCAUUGUGGUAGUGUGAUGUGAGUCUGUGAACCAACGAAGACAUGAAAGGACAGAACAUACCACCUCUUAUCAUCUAUUUAUUUCACAUCAGCACUAUACUUUGGGGUUUUACAGAACAGGAAGAAGUAACAGGGCUGUUUUCCAAGGAUUGCAUCCUCCCUUGUCGUUUCCCACCUGGGCAUGAUGAAGUAAUUCACUGGAGCAAAGAGAACAAAAAUGUGCACAGUUACUACCAGCAGAAGGAUCAGUUGGAAGGACAAGAUCCACAUUACAGACUCAGAACACACCUUUUCCAUGAGAACAUCCCUAGUGGAAAUGCCUCCUUGAAACUUAGUAACCUGACCAUGACUGAUGAGGGCUCCUACACUUGCUAUGUGGGAACAGUGCAAGAUGGAACAGAAGUGGAAGUGCUGCUACGCGUAAGGGCUCCUUCUUCUUAUGCACUGGAAUACCAGAAGACAAAGACAGAAAGGAGACUGAAGUGCUAUGCGUUUCUCACUUAUCCAGCACCAAAUAUAUCUUGGGUAAAAGGCAAUAUAUCCAUCCAAGAGACAGAUCGGGAGGAAACCAGGAAUGGAGUUCUCUAUUCUCUUAGAAGUGACCAGGACAUUAUAAACAUGGCAGAUACUUACUACUGUCAUAUUCAUUUCCACGGUGAAGUGUGGGCUGCUGAAUGGAAGAUGCAAGACCACCUGUUUAAUGUGGAAGGAGGUAGCACCGUAAUUCCUUGUGAACAUAGGAAUGACACCGCAAGCUCUGGCUUUGACUCUGGUUUCAGUGUUGUCUGGACAUUACACAGAAAUGCAGCGAGCUCAGUCCUGGCCUCCUUCAAUGGCACAUCUCACUCUCACCAGCCUCGAGUCUGGGUUCACGAAAAUGACUUUUCACUAAUGCUGGAUGAUCUUACUGCAGAUGACAGUGGAGAAUAUCUGUGUAAUAUUUCAACACCUUUCUACACAAAACUUACUGUGAGAACUUUACAUGUUGAAAAUUCAGGCAAGACCUGGAAGAUUGUGCUAGGAGCACUGUUUGUUGCAGUGGUGACAACAGUGGCAACAGCGGUAGCAGUUUGCUAUCUCAAGAAAAAAAGGAAGGAAGGAAUCCUAUGAACACCUUGACAUACAGGAAGAAAGUAGUUUUCUGCACAGAGAUACUUCUGAGAUUGUUGAUGAAAAGAACAAAGAGUUCCUUCACCUUCUCCUUUAGACAGAGUGUCUCGGUUUGAGACAAGUUUAGGAGGAAAUGCUCUGGAAGGAACGUCUCCUCCCCAGAAGGCAGGUUUCUGCACUCCCUCCCCCACCAAUACAAAAGGAAUUUCUUGGAUGAAAGUUAAAAAAACGAUUUAUUUAACAAGCAGAGUGCCAGCAGGCACAGAAAAAAAAAGAGUAAUGUUAGAUAAUAAACCUCCUCGAUGUGGAGUAAGCUGGUGGUUUUAGAGUUCUGUCUGUAGCUGGCUCGGCCCCUCCCGAGGCCCAAGGCCGGGGUGCGGCGUCCCCGCAGGCUCGCUGCCGGUCCACAGGGUCCGAUGAUCUGGUUCUUGGAUCACUGCUAAGCUGGACAGUUCCAGAAGAAGAAGAAGUUCCAGAGGAUUUUGGUAUGCAGUCCUGGGAACAUUUCUUGCCUCAGCUACCAGGCUGGCUAAAAGCAGGAAUGUGCUCCCUCAGCUCUGCAGCGGUGAGAACGCAGGGGAGUGUGUGUGAGUCCUUGAACACAAACUGCACUGAAGAAUUCACUCAGCUUCUCUCCCUCCUCUCCUGGACCCAGUUUAAAGCUGGGGGACCCAUUUCUGGGCAAUAAGCAGACAGUAGGGGAAUACAGUAUUAUAAAAUCAUCCCAAGACACAGAGCCACAUGGAAAUGCAAUUGUCUGAGCAACAGUAAUGGACAAAUGGGGACGGAAAAAAAGUAAUGUACGCUUGUAUGUGAAAAGUCAUGUAGCAGGGCAUCUCACCCCCCUACAUGAGCUUAUCUGUUGCUUGUUAACCAGUGAGAUAACUGAAACCAGACAAAGCUCUCUUGUAGUGAGCUAUUUUGGCACCAUGGAAUUACCAUUGGUCUGGCAUCUUCCAGCUGACAAUAAGCAUCUUACUGUGGAAGUGAGAUAUGGAAAGAGAAACUGGAUUUCUGACUGACAGACGCCUCACUUUACAAACUAUGUAAGCUACACCAAACUUCCACAGAGCAGGAAUCUUCUGCACAUUUUCCAGUGGUUUCUCCCCAGAGCAGGGAUGCCUGCUUUGCGGUUAUUCCUCUGGAGGCUGAGUGAAAGGACUCUGUGUACAUUAUCAUCAUUUUGGUGACACAAGGAAGAGAAGAAUUCUGCCUUCCAUGUCUGCCAAACUGAAAGGAAGAUAAACCUGAAUGGAACAGGAGAGAUCAUAGCUCGGCAUUACCUUUGUUUGAAGUCAGCAUAAAGCACCCUGUUUGGGAAACCCUUCCGGCAAAUGCGGAUGCCUUCCAGGACACCAUUACAGCGGAGCUGAUGCAAGACAAGGAAUGCAUCCAUUUCGCCUGCAGGGGGAAAACAAGGCUAAAUUAAAUGGAGUUUCUCCACAGGGCUUCAUCUUCAUUUCCCAAAGGAAGUUGGAAAAUGUGAGAAGUCAUCUCCUGAAAGAGCAACAGGACUGGAUAAGGUAGAAAGCACAGACAGUAUUUAAGUACAAUCUGGUGACUCAAAAGUACGUAAUAGAAUGACAGAGUUAAAUAUUCUAAAAUUUUAAGACUAUUGUCUUUUUCAUACCUGGAGUUUUUGAUUCAUUGGGGAUAAUGCAUCGUACAAAGUGAGGGGCUGUAGAUCUUAGGUUAGUCAUCAGCUUAUUUAAAUUUUCCUAGAACAGACACAUGAAAAACAUAAUUAGCUUUAGCAGUUUAGUGGAAUUCAAAUCACUAUUUCUUUGGUUUGUUGUUUAUUAAAUUUAAGAAGCUCAUCUUUCUAAAAAUUGUAAGCUUACCAAAAUUAUUAGAGAGAAAUGUGUUAAAAUAAACCAAAGUAUGAUUUCAUAUUAUCAUAGUAUUCCACAUCUGUUUUAGCAAAGAAGAUACGUGUUUUACUUACGACCCCAGAAAUUCAAAACCCAAGAUGAACAGCAGGUAAGAUUCAGUAUCAUCCUGUGAAGCAUUUCUGUAAAGCCAACAGCAUCUUUGCCUAGUCACUUCCCCACUCAGCAGGGAGAGCUCACCUUUCCCACGUGUUCCUCAUAAAGGCUGGGUUUUUGUCUCCCGGCCAAACAUUUUCCCAUUAUUAGUCUUAAUCACACAUGUCCCAGACAGACAGAAAGCUAGGUCAGAAGAAGCCAACCAUUCAGGGAUCACCAAGCUCUGGUGAGUGUUUUGUCUAGUAAGUAGGAAAUGGAGACGGUGGGAGGUGGAAUGCAACGUCAUCAGCACAACUCAGCAAACUGCAAUUUUCUCACACACCAGUCAGGACAACAAACAACCUGAGCUGGCUACUAAAGCUGCUUGUGUGAUGGAAAUUUGGCUUCUGUCUGUGGCUUAUUGAUUAUUGUCUGAGUGCUCCUUCAGCCACCUGUAUGCCUCUUCAGCUGGUAAGACGCAGGUCUGCAUUUCCUGUGAUUUCCCUUCAUGGGGAGUAUCUCCAAACAAGAUAAAGUGACAUAACUAGUGGGUAACUACAUUCUUCCCAACCUGAGGUUUACAUACAUUACAUCUUCCUCAAUGUUACCCAUAGAAACGGUAGUAAUGGUAAAAAAUGGUAAAUAGCCCCAUUUUUCCUCAGGCAUGAUCCUAGUGACAGCUUCCACCAGGAGUACAUACCAGUCCCAGUAGAAGGGAAUAACUGAGGAAACAAGAGGCUUUAUGGCACUUAAUUCAACAGCUUUUGUUUUCCAUGACUGCUCUAACCCUAGGAUCCAAUUACAAGCAGUAAUCAGAGAGGGACUAGCAAAUUACUUGUAAUCAGUUCCUGUUCCAAAGACAAACAUGAAGCUGUAAGCCACAAAAUAAGUGUUAAAUGUUGUUGGCACCAUUCUCUGAUACUUUCUCAAACACAGUAAAAAGAACAAUCUCCCAACUGCUCCAAGAUAAUGAAAUGGAGCAGGCCCUGACAUGCAGUUUUAAUAGCAGUGUAUUUCUUUAGCCAAGGUAAAUAACCCCAUCUAUGAGUCAAAUUUCAAUGCUGGAUUUAAAUUCCUUCUUCUCCAUUACAAUCCUUAACAUUCUUCUUCAACGCAUUGUCUUAAACUGCCAGGUGCGGAGAGGUAACAAACCUUGUGCAGUGAGGACACUGUUUGGAAAGAAGCACCUUUCUUGCGUUUCUUUUCUCCACCCUGGUCACCUAGGGGGGAAAAAAGAAGCAUAAGCCAAUCUGUAUCUCAGUAAGGGGUGCAGGCAGAGUGUGGAAAAUAGACCAUUUUGAUAGUGCUGCUCUCUUUGACUAAAAGACUCUGAUUGCUCAAUUUUUACACAAGACAUUCUGUACAUCAUGUGUGAUAUAUCACACAUUUGCAGCUCUCUGUCCAUAGUAAGGAAUUUUGUCAAAGACCACUGUAAGCUUUCUGGAUUGCAUUUGCAUUUCAGAUCUAUCCUGCACCGCUUGUUAUGCAGAAAAGCUCAUAAAUAUGAAUAAGGCAGAAAAAUAACUUUUAACAAAAGUAAUUUGUAGUUUGUUAAAAGCCCCAUAGGGUGAGAUGAUGUAGAAAAAGAAAACUUAAAGAAAAAGAAUGCUUACAGAAAACUUAUACUGCACAUUGUACUGUAUAGAAACUGAUUCUCUGCUAUGCAGACUCUGAACUUGUGCAAGUAAGAUUUGUCUAGAAUAGAAGGAAAUAAAUAUUUGUAAUUUUAGAUAUAGUAACUUUGCACCUCCUGAAUUUUGCUUAAAGCUUUGGAGUCAAAAUCACUCAGAUCCUUCCAAGGAAUGCUAGUUUCUGACAAGACCUUUACAAAGCUUUGCAAGUUCCAGACACGACCCAAAAAUGUACAGCAAUUACUGCAGCUUUCUAAGCAGUGGGCUAGAUCAUACCCAGGAGGUCUGUCAUUCUGUCUGUCACACCUGCCAACAAGAGUCAACAUAAGAGGAGAAGUGAAGACUGCAAUGUGCUUGAUGCAAUUAUCCACAGCCUUUCCCCCUUCAGAAGGUGACACUGCUGAGACUGGAAAAGGCUAAUCUGGACAGGCUGUUCCUUUCUCCUGACACCAAAGAAAAGCAAGGUAGUAUUCUGACAGACAGGAAUAUCCACAGGCAAAUAGGCAGUUAGUAACUUGAAAGGAUUUGCUAGUGGCAGGAUGUUUGUUAUUUACAUUCAGCUCCAUCUCAUUCCCAUUGCGAACUCUUCAGCCUGCUUGCUUCCUAGGAAAGUGUCAUGUGAUUCAUGACAAGAGCAUCUCUUGAAAUGAGGCUCUAAUAAACAUGCUGUAAGUGAUUGCAACUUCAGGACAUAAGAGCUACAUCUUUGUAAUGAAUACCAGUUAUUUAUUUAAGAUCAAUUUUCUGGAUGUUUGUUACUUGUCUUCUCAUGAAUAAAAGAGUUCUGUGUAAACGAUAGAGAUUAAAUAUGUCCUCAGAUACACAUUAUUAGAUUGUACAUUAGUACAAUGUGCACUGUCAAAUAAAAAACAGCAGCAAGCAAAAAGGGAGACAUAUUGGCAAAGCCUUCUACUGUGGCCAGUGUGGAAUGGUGUUCCAGAACCAUCAGUGUGUACUUGCUACUAAUCCAAUAAAAUAUUCCAAAACUCUCUCUUAAA
Corvus hawaiiensis (hawaiian crow) is the source of this 6130-nucleotide RNA transcript. It is a transcript of the gene named HERV-H LTR-associating 2, with no coding region annotated. The transcript has 10 exons. The record is from RefSeq and is a predicted model, not a curated record. NCBI's taxonomy places the organism in Eukaryota, Metazoa, Chordata, Aves, Passeriformes, Corvidae.